RNAcentral lists this non-coding RNA (125 nucleotides) under uncultured Aquitalea sp. Its description in RNAcentral is "Glycine riboswitch". It matches the Rfam family "Glycine riboswitch aptamer", at positions 7 to 88 of the family's 94-position model. Rfam says of the family: This family represents the bacterial glycine riboswitch. The record is from RNAcentral. Lineage: Bacteria; Pseudomonadati; Pseudomonadota; Betaproteobacteria; Neisseriales; Chromobacteriaceae.
CGGCUCUCUGGAGAGCAGGCCCGGGCAGGACGCAGCUUCACCGCUGCCGCCGCCCGCACGGCCUCGCCGAAGGAAACAAGGUGGCCCCGCCACCCCAAUCUCUCAGGCAAACGGACAGAGGGGGC